UUGGAAGAUUUUAAUGCUUCAACUUGUAUACUUGGAGAAUUUGAAGACUUCAACUUUUGGAGAUAUUUGAAAAUUUCAUCU
This 81-nucleotide microRNA precursor is filed under the name Solanum tuberosum (potato). RNAcentral describes it as "MIR8024 microRNA precursor family". It matches the Rfam family "MIR8024 microRNA precursor family". Lineage: Eukaryota; Viridiplantae; Streptophyta; Magnoliopsida; Solanales; Solanaceae. The record is from Rfam by way of RNAcentral.